GACGAACGCUGGCGGCGUGCCUAAUACAUGCAAGUCGAACGAGAGCGCCCGGUGCUUGCACUGGUCAAUCUAGUGGCGAACGGGUGAGUAACACGUGGGUAACCUGCCCAUCAGAGGGGGAUAACAUCCGGAAACGGAUGCUAAAACCGCAUAGGUCUUCGAACCGCAUGGUUUGAAGAGGAAAAGAGGCGCAAGCUUCUGCUGAUGGAUGGACCCGCGGUGCAUUAGCUAGUUGGUGAGGUAACGGCUCACCAAGGCCGUGAUGCAUAGCCGAUCUGAGAGGGUGAUCGGCCACAUUGGGACUGAGACACGGCCCAAACUCCUACGGGAGGCAGCAGUAGGGAAUCUUCCGCAAUGGACGCAAGUCUGACGGAGCAACGCCGCGUGAGUGAAGAAGGUUUUCGGAUCGUAAAACUCUGUUGUUAGAGAAGAGCAAGUGCUAGAGUAACUGUUAGCGCCUUGACGGUAUCUAACCAGAAAGCCACGGCUAACUACGUG
This 498-nucleotide ribosomal RNA is filed under the name uncultured bacterium. RNAcentral describes it as "partial 16S ribosomal RNA". It matches the Rfam family "Bacterial small subunit ribosomal RNA", at positions 28 to 507 of the family's 1533-position model. The record is from RNAcentral.